GACGAACGCUGGCGGCGUGCUUGACACAUGCAAGUCGAACGGAAAGGCCCUGCUUUUGUGGGGUGCUCGAGUGGCGAACGGGUGAGUAACACGUGAGUAACCUGCCCUUGACUUUGGGAUAACUUCAGGAAACUGGGGCUAAUACCGGAUAGGAGCUCCUGCUGCAUGGUGGGGGUUGGAAAGUUUCGGCGGUUGGGGAUGGACUCGCGGCUUAUCAGCUUGUUGGUGGGGUAGUGGCUUACCAAGGCUUUGACGGGUAGCCGGCCUGAGAGGGUGACCGGCCACAUUGGGACUGAGAUACGGCCCAGACUCCUACGGGAGGCAGCAGUGGGGAAUAUUGCACAAUGGGCGGAAGCCUGAUGCAGCAACGCCGCGUGCGGGAUGACGGCCUUCGGGUUGUAAACCGCUUUCGCCUGUGACGAAGCGUGAGUGACGGUAAUGGGUAAAGAAGCACCGGCUAACUACGUGCCAGCAGCCGCGGUGAUACGUAGGGUGCGAGCGUUGUCCGGAUUUAUUGGGCGUAAAGGGCUCGUAGGUGGUUGAUCGCGUCGGAAGUGUAAUCUUGGGGCUUAACCCUGAGCGUGCUUUCGAUACGGGUUGACUUGAGGAAGGUAGGGGAGAAUGGAAUUCCUGGUGGAGCGGUGGAAUGCGCAGAUAUCAGGAGGAACACCAGUGGCGAAGGCGGUUCUCUGGGCCUUUCCUGACGCUGAGGAGCGAAAGCGUGGGGAGCGAACAGGCUUAGAUACCCUGGUAGUCCACGCUGUAAACGGUGGGUACUAGGUGUGGGGUCCAUUCCACGGGUUCCGUGCCGUAGCUAACGCUUUAAGUACCCCGCCUGGGGAGUACGGCCGCAAGGCUAAAACUCAAAGGAAUUGACGGGGCCCCGCACAAGCGGCGGAGCAUGCGGAUUAAUUCGAUGCAACGCGUAGAACCUUACCUGGGUUUGACAUGGGUCGGGAGUGCUCAGAGAUGGGUGUGCCUCUUUUGGGGUCGGUUCACAGGUGGUGCAUGGCUGUCGUCAGCUCGUGUCGUGAGAUGUUGGGUUAAGUCCCGCAACGAGCGCAACCCUUGUUCACUGUUGCCAGCACGUUAUGGUGGGGACUCAGUGGAGACCGCCGGGGUCAACUCGGAGGAAGGUGGGGAUGACGUCAAGUCAUCAUGCCCCUUAUGUCCAGGGCUUCACGCAUGCUACAAUGGCUGGUACAGAGAGUGGCGAGCCUGUGAGGGUGAGCGAAUCUCGGAAAGCCGGUCUCAGUUCGGAUUGGGGUCUGCAACUCGACCUCAUGAAGUCGGAGUCGCUAGUAAUCGCAGAUCAGCAACGCUGCGGUGAAUACGUUCCCGGGGCU
This 1346-nucleotide ribosomal RNA is filed under the name uncultured bacterium. RNAcentral describes it as "partial 16S ribosomal RNA". It matches the Rfam family "Bacterial small subunit ribosomal RNA", at positions 28 to 1381 of the family's 1533-position model. The record is from RNAcentral.